GAAUGAAAAAAGAACUGCUAAUUCUUUAAAUAGUUAAACUACAUUCU
This 47-nucleotide transfer RNA is filed under the name Unionicola parkeri. RNAcentral's name for it is "tRNA-Ser". Lineage: Eukaryota; Metazoa; Arthropoda; Arachnida; Trombidiformes; Unionicolidae. The record is from RNAcentral.